RNAcentral lists this ribosomal RNA (507 nucleotides) under uncultured Paraglomus. Its description in RNAcentral is "SSU rRNA". It matches the Rfam family "Eukaryotic small subunit ribosomal RNA", at positions 569 to 1079 of the family's 1831-position model. Lineage: Eukaryota; Fungi; Glomeromycota; Glomeromycetes; Paraglomerales; Paraglomeraceae. The record is from RNAcentral.
AGCAGCCGCGGUAAUUCCAGCUCCAAUAGCGUAUAUUAAAGUUGUUGCAGUUAAAAAGCUCGUAGUUGAACUUCAGGCCUGGCUGGACGGUCCGCCUUCCGGGCGAGUACUGUCUGUGGUCGGGUCCUACCUUCUGGCGAAGCGUCAUGGCCUUAACCGGCCGUGGCGGGGAACCAGGACUUUUACUGUGGAAAAAUUAGAGUGUUCAAAGCAGGCAAUUCGCUUGGAUACAUUAGCAUGGAAUAAUGGAAUAGGACAAUGGUUCUAUUUGUUGGUUUCUAGGACUGUUGUAAUGAUUAAUAGGGAUAGUUGGGGGCAUUAGUAUUCAAUUGUCAGAGGUGAAAUUCUUGGAUUUAUUGAAGACUAACUACUGCGAAAGCAUUUGCCAAGGAUGUUUUCAUUAAUCAAGAACGAAAGUUAGGGGAUCGAAGACGAUCAGAUACCGUCGUAGUCUUAACCAUAAACUAUGCCGACUAGGAAUCGGGCGAUGUUGACAAAAUGACGCGC